RNAcentral lists this ribosomal RNA (253 nucleotides) under uncultured prokaryote. RNAcentral's name for it is "partial 16S ribosomal RNA". It matches the Rfam family "Bacterial small subunit ribosomal RNA", at positions 525 to 777 of the family's 1533-position model. The record is from RNAcentral.
ACGGAGGGGGCUAGCGUUGUUCGGAAUUACUGGGCGUAAAGCGCACGUAGGCGGCUUUGUAAGUUAGAGGUGAAAGCCCGGGGCUCAACUCCGGAAUUGCCUUUAAGACUGCAUCGCUAGAAUUGUGGAGAGGUAAGUGGAAUUCCGAGUGUAGAGGUGAAAUUCGUAGAUAUUCGGAAGAACACCAGUGGCGAAGGCGACUUACUGGACACAUAUUGACGCUGAGGUGCGAAAGCGUGGGGAGCAAACAGGA